Populus nigra (black poplar) is the source of this 1163-nucleotide long non-coding RNA. RefSeq lists it as uncharacterized. The record is from RefSeq and is a predicted model, not a curated record. NCBI's taxonomy places the organism in Eukaryota, Viridiplantae, Streptophyta, Magnoliopsida, Malpighiales, Salicaceae. The transcript is spliced from 2 exons.
UGUUUCUUUAGAUUUUCUAGACUUGGUUUUUUUUCAAUAAAAUAUUUCAUGAAAAAAAAUGAUACGAGUAAGGAAAUUUAACAGUAAAAGAAGAAAAGGAAAAGAAUAUGAUUAAUUAUUAUACACAAAGAACUAUCGAGUCGAAGGACAGAGUUAAUGGAUCGUCUUUUAUCACAUGCAGAGCCUUCAAGGGCCAUCUCCCCUGCAAGAACUUGAGAUUAAUGACUAGUAUAGCAGUGAGUGAAGAGUACCCUCCCAGCGAGUCAAUUCUGGAGUUGAGAUCUAGUGGAGCCAGCGGAAGAGUCGAGCUCUGGGAAUAUAAUUUUUUAUUGAACAUUAGAAUAGUAACUCACCCCUCAAAACUUUCUGUUCAGACACCGCCACUGCCCACCGAGUUCUCUUCCUUUACCUCGUUUCUUCACGAAGAAGACGACUGAUCCUGUUGUUGUCGAUGCAAGUAGUGAGAUCAUGAAGCUUUUAGGGCUUAGUUCGUAGUUUGAUUUAGUUUUUUUCUUUUUUGGGGUCUUGAAGCUGUUGCUGCUGGUGGAUUCGAGGUUGAAGAUUAUUAUUAUAAUUGAAUUUCUCGACUAUGGUGUUUGUUGGCGUCAUUCUGUGUGAGCAAAGGUCUCAACAACUCGUGACCGAAGAGACUAAUGCAUAUCUCCCGUUGUGAGCACUAAAUAUUGUGCUUGGUCCAGGUGAUGUAUAAGAAGAGUCUUUGGACAUGUCUAAUAGCUAAACCAAAAUCAAGCAGGCAGCUGGAUAGUGAAAACAACACACAGCGUCAGCCAAACAAAAAAUAGCCAGCCAUGUGAUUGCUUUGGAUAUCAUGACAACAGCAGUAUAAUCAACACAACAAUGGUAAACUCUUAAGGGUUUCUCUGGAAGAACAAGAAACACGGCUACAAUAGAGAGAAACAACAACGAUGGGUGAAAAACAGCUACCAGCGCCUUCAACAGCAACGAUACAAUCAGGGGCGGAAGCAGGGGGGGGCGAGCAGGGGCCCGGGCCCCCCCUGCAAUACUUGCCCCUGCAAUAUUUAUCCCUGCAAUUCUUUUUUUUUUUUUUAUAUUGGGUGAUUAGGUAAUUAAAAUGGAGAAAGUGUUAUAUUUUUUAUUUUAAAAAGGUGGCUCUUCUAAAUUAAGUGUGAUUUUAUUUUUUA